UUCUUGGCACAGCAACCUCGACCACAGCUACACCACCCUACGCUCUCGGCUACCUUGAUAUCGGCACAAAAAGGGCUACCGCCUUGCUUGAGCAACCUCGUCCGUUUCCACUCCGGCCACAACUCCCGUGAUGCAUCGACCGUUACGACUAUGGGGGGAUGACCGUCGGCUUACCUUUGGAUUCUUCUGCAGUCUCACCACCUGCGUCGCUACCGUUGUGACUGCGGGGGAUGUUGAGUAUAUUGAUUAUUAGAAAAUAAAAGAUAGACUAGGGUUUGUUCUACCUUACCUUGUACUCCAAACUGAUCAUUGUACUCUUAUAUAUAUGUCCACGAGGCUCAAGCAAUACAACAACUAUUCCGUCAGUCCUUCGAUUCCCGUUCAACUGGAACUACUGGAGUUGUUGUAAGGGAAACUCUAACUCCAUGCGUUAAAUUAUACGCAUCAAAUGUCUGCAGACACCCCCUCAAAAGAAAAGUCUGCUCACACGUCAUCGUCGUUGUCGGAGAUCAGCGCACCUCCUUAACCAUGUGGACUGAUAGAGUGGCGGCCGCUCGCGGGCAUGGAGACAGUGGCCGGUGGCGCCGCAAUUCGAAUGACCCCAGGAUCCUCCUGCAAGCCCUAAGAACUCACGAUGGACACGGUCCGGGCCAGUCCGGUCCCGGUCCGAGCCGGCGUUUGGACCGGCCGCCGGCGGUCCGGUCCGGAUCGGACCGAGUAGGCUGGCGGUCCUCUUUUCAGGGACCGCACCGGCGAGGCAAAAGCCCGGGCCGGACCGGCGGACCGGCCAACAGCUCACCGGCGGCGAGGUGGUAGCCAUGACAUCGGCUAUCGAAGACUCUAGGCCGUAAUCGGAAGCGGAGACAGAGGGAAUAGGUGCGGGCACUCAUGUAGAGCUCGAUACUGAGGUCGGGGAGGCCGGAGAAGCAGUGACGACGAAGGAAUCGACGACGAACGGCGACGGCCGGAGCUGGAGAUGAAGCAAGAUCCCGACUGAUUCGUGGCGAAUCCCAUCGAUUUGUUAGGGGGGAGGAGAUCCGAUGCUUGCGAAGCUCCUGGACAUGGUCGUUCGUCCUGGAAAGGACAGUGGCCACGUCCGUGAGAUCUCGUGCUCUGGACGGCGGCGGCCACGGCACAACACGUCUACCCCGCCACGCCUGAGCCGCCACACCUCCAGCACGCCCCCGGCACUCCUGCAGCACGCCCCCGCCAUGCCUCUACCACAUCCCCGUCAUGCCUCGCCAUGCCCCCGCCCUGCACUCGCCAUGCUGCCAGUGAGCUGUUCGGUCCGCUCGGUCGGACCGAGCUUUAACCGGACCGGACUGAGCAAUUUUCGGGCCUGUUUUGAGGGGCCGGACCGGCCGGUUUUUACGGUCAGUCCUGGACCGAGCGGGCCAAGACCGAGUGGUCCAUGAGCAGGCCAAGAAGCCCCCUCGGUACGUCCAGGCUGACUAAGAACCAACUAAAGCCGUUGCUGUUCUUGCCCAUCUCUGCGGUAUGUGCAAGAUAGGAGAAGCGAGGCGGUGGUGCAUAGAAUGGAAGAUAGGAGAGGAGAGGUGGUCGCUUCAAUGCGGGUGCAGCAGCUGGAGUAGGUUUCUCCAUCGCUAUGUGCACUGUGCACACUGAAUCGGCGCAUGUCAGUUGUGCGACACACCUGUUUGAGCGGCAUCAAUGCGGUAGGGGGCGAGCGGCCUCUAUGUGCGGCCAGGCUUCUACAACGGCCCUGUUUGAUACUCUAACUUGAUUGGAGCUUAAAGUUAGAUUUUAAUUCUGGACUAAUCCUGAACUAACUCUAACUAAAUAAAAGUUUCGAUGGCAGCGAUAAAUGCCAAUAAAUGCACCCUUUUCAAUCAUUUGGCUCAAUCAGGAUUUGGUGCAAGCGGCCUCAAUGUGCGGCCAGGCUUCCACAACGUAAGACUACUGAUAAUAAGGAGUAACAUAGAAUAGUAAUAUACAUAUGUUACUAGUCUAAGUUACUACCUCCACAGUGGAUAGUAACAUCGGGGUAGCAUUGAACCUUUUAUUUAUUAGCCUAUAGACUCAUCUUGCCUUGGUAUCCGCUAUGUUACUCCUAGUAUGAGUAACUUGCUAAGGCUGGUCACAAUGGGGAGGAACUUAGCAGUAACAUCACACACUCCAAUACAACUUUGCUUAUGUGGCACGUAUUUAGUGAAGAGAGAGGUGCUUGUGGUAACUAGCUAAGUUACCGGAACAUCACACACUCCAAGAAACAAUGAGUCUAUAGCCUAAUAAAUGCAUUGUUGCAUGACACUACAUACAUGUUACUCCCCAUUGUGGAGGUAGGGACAUAGUCUAGGAAAGCAUGUAGGUUCCUACCUUAUGUUACUCUCCAUUGUGACCAGCCUAAGAGGGUGAAAGGCUAAAGUUCCAAACACCCCUGACUAAAGAGAGACUAAAACUAGUCUAAAGACUAAAAUCUUUUAGUCACAGCAACCCCUACUAAAAUUUCUUUUAGUCCUCUCUCUCCUCGUUUAAACUCUCCUCGUUUUACUCUUUCCUUUAACACAGCCGGUUGCCUUCUCGAGCGGUCAAACAGCGGUGCGGCUACAGGCUCAUCUUUUCCUUUCCCCUACCUGGAGCGCUCCUCUUCCCUUCCUGCUCCUGGUGGCUGAGGAAGGAAGCAGCUGAUAGUCGUCCAUGGCCUCCGGCGGCCGCCUCCACCUCCGCUGAUAGCCGCCGGCUUGGCCCACAGCCCCACAGCCUCCCCUUCGCUGUUCUGUUGGUGGCUGAGGAACGAUUCAGGUGAGAGAGGAGUCCAAGAUGCAUCCGCCAUGGAAUACGGAAUUCGAAAGGUGUGACAGAGAUGAGAAUUAUCAACCUCUUCUUGAGGAAACAAGGAGGAGGCGUCGUAACAGGAGGGAUCUAGAAAUGGAGCCAGAUUCGGUCGACAUGAAUCAAUUGAGAGAUAGAAUUGCUGAUGGUUUGUUCCAGGGCCAUUGAGAUCAUUGUCAUGUUACUAACGUGGGGGAGGAGUUGGAGUUACGGACCACGGUCUUGGAGUUUCCUAGGUGGCACCUUAGAAAAGGUAGAAUAAUCCUACAACUCAUCAUGAAAUAAAAGAGCCUAAACAUGCCUGAAAUUCAAAACGAAGCUUGUACUCAUAUGCUCAUGCAUGUACAAAAUCCAAUAAAUGGUUUUAAGAAGUCUUUUUUUUUUGCAAUGACCAUUUUUGUUUCUUUCAUACAUGUGAAAUUUUUCAUGAGAACAGACUUGUGGCUGGUCUAGGAAAAAACGACCCUAAAGAUGAAAAUGGCCUUUUACAGCCGAGCUCAAAUGAGCUUUGGGUCAACAAUAAAUUCAAAAAUAUUGAAAAAAUCUGUUUUUUUUCAGAAAACAAUGAAAAGUGUUCUAAGACCUUGCAAAAUUUCAGUACGAAAUCAUAUUUGUAGAAGUCGUGGCAAAAUAAAAAGUUCUUUUUUGCCACGACUUCCACNNNNNNNNNNNNNNNNNNNNNNNNNNNNNNNNNNNNNNNNNNNNNNNNNNNNNNNNNNNNNNNNNNNNNNNNNNNNNNNNNNNNNNNNNNNNNNNNNNNNAAGCAUCUCCAACAGCCGCGCAAAAAGGCGAGCGGGAUAAACCGUAAUGUUAGCGCGCGGGACAGAAUGGCGCGCUCCAGCGGCGACGGAAAAACCGCGCGCACGGGAACUGCUUGCCCACGCGCACGAAAAGGUGGCAGCACGCGCGUCAUUUUUGCCGCGUCGCUUCCCGCGCGCCUAUAAAAGCGCAGCGCUCUGCCGCUCCCUCGCGCGUCACCGCUUCGCUCUCUCUCUCUCCCCCUCUACCUCUCGCCCCGCCGCCGCUCCAGCGCGCCGCCACCGCUCCAGCGCCCCGUCCCGACGCGCCACCAUGCCGCCGCGCCGCCGUUCUGCGUCGGGCUACCGUGGCGUCCGCGAGCGCCCCAAUGGCGGGUUCUACGCCGAGAUAUGCUCCGGCGAUCUCCGGCUUAGCCUCGGCACAUACGACACAACGCACGAGGCCGCCCACGCGUUCGACGCGGCGGCGUGGCGCCUAGGAAGGCCACGCCGCCAAAUGAACUUCCAAGACGUUCACACGCUCCAGCAGGCGUUAGACGUCGCCCCGCCGCCUCGUGUAAACUCCGCACAAGACCGUGCGGAGCACACUGUGCGGCAGCGCCACCUCCUCGUCGCCCAAGAGGACGAGCGGGUCAUGGCGGAGUGGCGCCGGCGCCACCCGGAGGACGUCGCCUAUGAGCAGGAAUAUUGGGCAAGGCGCUGCAAGGAGGACACGCGCCGGCGCCGCGAGGAGCGGUUGGACAGGCGUCGGCGGAAGGCAUUGGCGAGUGCGCAGGCCGACAUCGUCAAUGCAGGCGGGAGGACGGAGGUCCUUGUUCACUGAAGAAGAUGAGCGUUGGUUCGACAUCUGGCUAUUAACCUCUGACGACACCAACGACGAUGAUGAUGGUGCAGAUGAUUGGAGCGACUGGGAUUAGUUUUAUGUUUUCAAACUAUCUUUUUUUCGAAAAGGGUUUUCAAACUAUCUAGCACCGAACUAUCUAUCUAUGUUUUCGAACUACCUAUCUAGUUGCAAUCUAUGUAAAAUAACUUUGUAUCCUUUUUCUUUUGAUGCAAUCUAUUUGUUAAAAAUGUUGUGCGCGUCCUGCAUUUUUUGGCACUGCUCAAGCGGCGCGCGCUGCAUUAUAGCGCGGCUGUUGGAGCCAGCGGCUAUCCCGCGCUAAACCAGCCGAAGCGCGCGCGGCGAACGCAUUUUUUAGACGCGGCGCGAAGCACGGCUCUUGGAGAUGCUCUAAGGUAGAGGAAUAAGCGGCGCGUGGGGGCCAGAUAGGACGGGUAUCGAUUGCUCCAGGCGGUUACGACCCAACUGGAUCAGUCCGUUGAUUUAAAUGGUUUUCUAAAUUUUAGGAUGCCAUGCAUUAGGAAAACCAUAUCCAUACCAUGCAAUAGACAACAUUAAGAUCCGACCCAAUAAAAGUAGCCGUGGCUGCGUCAGACAGGAGAUCAUCGGUUUUUUAUGGUUUUGAAUUUAUUUGUUCUGUCAAGUCCGUAUAUGCGAGCAUGUGGGGACAAAGUUGGUUACUGUUGCAGAUUAUUUUUUGCUGGUGAAUACUGUUGAAGAAAUUUAUUGUAUGAAAGAAGUACUUCCUCCGUCUUAAAAUAACUGUCACAACUUUGUACUAGCUCUAAUACAAAAUAAUACUAAGCUUAAGACCUUUAUUUUGGGACAGGGGAAGUACACACUAAUAAAAAAACUAGGCUUUUUAUCUCAGAGCAAUUACCUUUGUCACGCGAGCAGCCAUCCGUUAUGUAUGGAUUGCCUCCGUAACCACGGUCACAGUAACAAGUAUACUCAUCCUGAUACUGCUGGCGACUGUUGCUAUGGUUGCUGAGACAUGCAUAAUCUGUGCUGUUUUGGAAGGGGCCACCAGGUUCAUCAAUGGUGAUACCCCAGAAGAUAGAGGCGUGAUCAGUGCUUACAUCAAUUGUAUCCCAUAUGGAGCUUCGGUUACUGUGCGCUUUGAACUCCAGCUUUCCAAUCUUGUGGCGGACGAACUUGAUGUCGAAGCCGGUAGUAGACGCGGAUAUAUAACCGGUGGAGCAACAUCCUGUACCGUUGCAGUCCUGCCUGAGGCUGGACACCUUAUCCGUGAUGUCUUCGUCAGGGCAUGUAGUAGUGCACUGACCCGCUGUCUUGUUCGUACCGUUGUCGAGCACAUACAUGUCGAAGUCGCAACCAGUGAAGUUUAAUCGUAAAUAAUAGCUAGUGGGAGAUCUCACAGGAUUCCAGGAGAUGUUGUAGGCAUCCUCCUCAGGUCUCACGGGGACGGAUUGGGAAAACGAUACCUCGAUAUUUUGUUGGACAUAGGGAUCGCCGGCCCUGAUGUUAUCGACGACCUCGGUGAUGCCGUCGUACAGGAAGAGUCUGGGAGGCUGCGACGCAUCGGGGGUUCUGUUGCAGAAGAGCUCAAAGUCCCGCUGCGGCGGCCGGAAGCAGCCCGGCCCUAUGCCGAACGGGUAGUCGAAACUGAGGUUGCCACAUCUCUUCUGACAGCCGGCCAGGGAGGGAAGAGCACUCCUGUUCCCGCCCUGGCUUCCUUGCACGCCAGCUGAUGCUCGUGCCGUUACCGUCCAUAGCAACAGCAGCGCGAGCAAGCAGAGGAGCCUCGUCUUCAUCAUCUCACAGGUGUAUUCGAGGGGAAAUUGUGUACUGAGCUUUAGGUGUCUGGCUGAUUUAGCUUCCAGCGUUGGUUCUCUUUCAUAUAUAUCACUCACUGUCGUACUUUACGUACUCCACAAUUUAAACGGAAUCACACGUUCCAUCGCCGUUGUGGGGAAAAAAGAAACACCACUAACACGCCACCAGCAUAAAAGAUCCUAACUUGGUUUUGUCAGGCAGGGAACGUCUUUGAACAGUUGAGUACCCCCUACCACGGGUUAGAAAUUGAAUGUUGUGCCACAAAAGGUCGGCUUGGGUGUGUUUGGUUUGAGGAUAUGGUGACACGAGACGGGUUCAUUCCGUCCCCAGUUCAUCAUUCCAAUGUUUAGUUGAGGAUGGAACCGGAACCGGGUGAUCCUCAGAAAAAGAAUAUUCCCUAUAUAUGCUUCAUCAAGCGAUUCCACCAAAUCGAAGGAAUCAACUGGUUAUUCUUCUCUUAUUGAUAGAAGAAAAAAAGAAAAUACACCUGCUAAUUGUUAAAACCAAAAAUGCAAUGAAAAUGUUGCCGGAAUUUAUAUAAUAUAUCGAUAAAAGAAAAAUAAAAACCCCACAAAGUGAGUUGAGUCAUAUUCUUCUCAUUUCAUAUCUCCAACCAAACACAAGAAUGGAACGAACCCGUGACGUCUUUUAUCUUCAACCGAACACAAGAAUGGAACCAACCCAUUCCUUCAAAACGAGACCAUGACAUGCCAUGCCUUUUGGUUCUCAAACCAAACACGUAUUUGUGGCAAGAACAAGUCCGUCCGUGUAUUCUCUGCCAGUGAACGGCUUUGGAUGUUACACGUUGAUGUUACACGUUCCGUCGCUGUUGUGGUGAAAAAAGAAACAUUUUCCGAACUUGGUUUUGCAAGGCAGGGAACGUCUUUGAAGAGUUCAGUAUUAAUUAAUUUCUGAUGUAACACAUACUUGUGGCAAGAACAAGUCCGUGUAUUCUCUGCCACUGAACGGCUUUGUAUAUUUCUGUACUGCUUGUACAAUUCAAAACUCCCCUCUCGCAUUGACUGACUUUGUGGAGUCUCAAGUCUUUUUUUUUCUUCAAGUGGAGAUCAGGACAUAUGGGGUAGCAUUCUUAUUUAAUUAGCAGACGGUCGACUUAUUUUUUUCAAUGAAACGCGUACAUAAUUUCAAUUACCCUGGCAGCACGGCAAACAUCGCAACCGAAACUCUGUCAACCGGUAACAUCUUCCAGCUGCCAAAUGGGUCUCUCGAACGAAACAAAAGCCUCGACGACGUGGAGCAAAUCGACCACAGCCAACCCAACGGCAUGGAUGCAACCAGCACUGCCAUAGCAUAGCAUGCAGCAGGCAUGCCGCCAUGAUCUUUUCCUAUCCUCUUGGAGCGAUCGAGCAGCAGGUCCAUUACGUACCGAUAUGUGUUUGCUGGUAUAUAUUGAUCCAGAUUCGGAUGCUCAAGUGGAAUUUAGAACAUUUCAAAGAGUGAGAGAUCCAACUACAAGGAAACAGGGAUCUUUAGCAUUAGUUCCAAGACAGAUAGAUUGAUGCGGCAUGGUUCCCGCGGUGUUGCGAGAGUAGACUACUAGAGACAGGCAGAGCUGCUUGCAUCGUAGAAAUAAAUCGGUGUCUUCUGUUAUUAUUGCUGCAAGAGAGAAAAUUAGGGGCUAGCACCGAGAUAACUGAAUCAAUGUGAUAGAUUGAAAAAGUAAGGGUGUGUGCAUUUUGGUCUCAAACUCUCAAUCAAAUUUCCUGUCUAAUAUUGUGUUUGGACACAUGUCCGCUAGGGUGUGUGUGCACGUAUUUCAUUCUUGUUGAAAACAAAUAAUUCUUCGUCUCUCAUUUAAUUUUCUAUUUUUUGGGGGGAGGGGGAUCCUUUGUCUCUCACUUAAUUUAGGGUGGAAAAAUCCUUCGUAUCAAUCGAAUAAUUUGGGACCCUUUCCCCAUCAUCCACCUGCUGGCCUUGUUAGAAUUUUCAAAAGGAAGAAAACAGGCCGGGUGGGAAAAAUGCCGACAGGCGCCUGCCCUCCAAACUAGACAGAUCCAAGAGUUCACAAAAAUAAAACGAUAGGGUAUACAAAGAAAAAACUCAACCUAACUAGCUUGAUCAUGGAGACCUAAUACCCAGUGGGGUGCCUUAGGUGCAAACUGAAACUUAUUUUUGGGCUGGGGUGGGACUGGGACUGGGAUACGGUGUACUUCAAGGAUGCCAAGACCAGGGAAGGGGAAUAAUGAGAAGGAGAAGAAGCUUUCCGGUAAUUUCAGCUACGGGCAGUUUGUACCUUAAGUUAUCGGAGAUGGGGCGACGGAUAAAAUCGGCUGAUCCGCUUUUUACGGGUCGUCCAUUCCUCGCCCAUGGGGCGGUCCUCACAGAUUUUGUGGUCCCUAUUCUCCCCUUCCAUGGUCCUCAACAAGGAAGUGUUGGUUGCACUCGCUAUGAAGAGGCCGCAUUGUUAGAGGCCCUAUUCUCCCCUUCCAUGGGCCGAUAGGGCACGAAGCAUUUUUAGGGCAUGAGAGGGCAAAAAAGCCGCUCCAAUAGCAGCCUAAUAGCAAAAUUGUUAUCAAUUUUUUUGAACAGCCCUAAAAUGGUGAAUAGUGUGUCUAUAUGAAUAUUUAAAACACAUAUGACGACAACUACUACCUUCAUUCCUAAAUAUAAGUCUUUUAAAAGAUUUCACUAGGAGUCUACAUGCGGAGCCAAAUGAACGAAUCUACACUAAAAAAUAUGUCUAUAUACGUCCGUAUAUAGUCCAUUAGUGGAAUCUCUAGAAAGACUUACAAUUAGGAACGGAGGUAGUACGAACCAUCUCUCUUAAACUUGGCGGACGCUUCUGCUGACCGCCCCUUCGUAACGGUUGUAGAGCUUAGGGGUGGGGGUCCCGGAGGUGGUGGGUGCAGUCGGAAGCGGCGGCGUGUCCCAGAGGAGGUCGUGGUAUCUGGGUAUGGGGAGGUCGGGGUGGGAAAAACUGGCAAGGGCCUCGCGGAAGUGAAAUAGAGGAGAUAAGGCUGCGAGCAGUGAGUCUGAUCAAUGAAUUUGGCAGCUUUCCUGCCAACAUUAAAAAAAAUACACACUAGACGAAGGCCAGCGAUGCGGCUGGUUUCUUCCAGAGACCAAUCGAUGUGUUAGGCUAGCUAGCGUGCAUGCAUGUUGACAGGUUCUUUUCCCGUUUUUAAUAGUUUGGAUCCUUUCGAACACAAAGGAUAAGCCGAGGGACUAAACUUAUAAAGACUAAGGCGUUCCUGAAGACACACGGGAGAGAUAGUCAAGUGCUUUCGCCAUACUCUGUCUAGUACUAUGUUUUAUAUUAAUAAAUGUUAUGUGGGUGGAUCUUAACUAGUGCAUCGUCUAGGCUAAGACAAGAACACUUUUAUGAUUAAUCCCUCUGGCAAGCAUCCGCAAAUACAAGAGAGAAAUUAAGGCAAAGCCUAAUCAUAACAAUAAGCUUUAGGAUCCAAUACCCCCUCAUGCAAAAGUAUGCAAACUGGAGUUCAGGUUUCUGUCACUCCGGCAACCCACCAUAAGCAUUCUUUAUACACGAUGCAUUCCCCUAGGUCCUUAAAAAGGCGAAGUGUUAUGUAGUCGACGUUCACAUAACACCACUAGAAGAAUAACACCAUAACUUAAAUAUGAAUCAACACAUAUUACUUCAACAUCAUAUGACUACUAGCAUCUAGACUUUUCCCAUGUCCUCAAGAACUAACGAAACUACUCACAAGACAUAAAAGAGAUCAUGAUCAGAGGUGAUGAAAAUAUGAUUAACAAUUUGGUCAUAACAAUAAUUCUCCAACAAAACUCAAUAGCAUUCACCACAAAAGAGUAAUCAACACCGGUAGAGUAGAGGGGAUGAAUAGUGCAAGGUACAACUCCGAUUGCAAUGGUGAAGUAGAUGGGAUGAAGAUGGAGAUGGUGCUGGUGAUGGUGAUGAUGGUGAUGAUGAUCUCGAUGAUGCCCGUGACGAUGGUGAUGACGAUGGGGACGAUCUCCCCUUCCGGGAGGAGUUCUCCCAGGCGGAAUCUGCCCGCCGGAAAGGUCUUUUCUUCUGUGUAGGUUUCCGCCACGGAGCGGCGGCAGAACUACGAAAACUCUUCUGUCCACGUAAAUUUUAGGUCAAGAGGAUGAUAUAGGCCACAGGAGAGCGCCAGAGGUAGGACCCACCACCCAGGUGGCCUCUGGGCGCGGCCUAGCGGUGGCCCGCGCCAACAGGUCCCGUGGGUGACCUGUGCCCCCCCUUCGGCCCUCCUUCGACCAGUCUUCGUGAUCUGUUCGGAAACUUCUCCCUCAAAAUUUCAGCGCAGUUGGAGAUGUUCUGAUAUUGUAACUCUUCGUGCUAUUUUCUUUGCUAAAUCAUGUGUCUGUUGUUUCCGCACCGGAAAGUUGUAAACUGUGUAAAAUAAGCCAAAACACUAUCAGUACAUCAUCAUAAUGUGAAAUAUAUCAAUGAAUAGAGACAAAUUAUGAUACAAAAUAGUGAUGUAUUUUGGACGUAUCAGCAUCCCCCGCAACCCAGGUAAUCUAUGCCGCAUCGCAAAGGAGGUGAAGGAGUUGAGGGCUAAGGUGGAGGAUUUGAGCAACAUGAACCUGCGCUAUCGGCUCAUCAAGGAGGGCUCGGGCUCCAAGCCUAUCAGCACAGAGGGGCAGGCCAGCACUGCCGCCACUGUAAUGUUUGCCACUUCGGAACACAACUCAUCAUCAAAGGUGAACGUCCACCAGCUGGUUAGUAGCAAUGAUGUGAACCUUAGGGUGAUCUCCAUGUGGGGAACUAGCUGGGAUCUCGAGAAGACGUCUAGCAUCUAGGAAAUUUAUGAUCACCCAAUGGUUCUUGAAAGAUUUGAAUUCCGUGUUUCGAUUAGGUUGAUGCAUCCGUUCAAUCCACAAGAGCUCUUGUGUAGCUUGGUAAGGAAAUUCUAUGAAAAUUACCACGAUGAAGUUGGAAAGGCAGAACAAGCAACAAGUGUGUUGGGGUUAAUGUUUUGGUCAAGUUGGAGACGAUGAAUCAAAGUGAUUUAGUCUGUGUGUUUAAUGCGGUGUUAUGUAGCAAUAGCUACCUGAUUGUAAUUGAUGACCUAUCCACAAUAGUGGAGAGGCACUGCAUUACGAAGUACUUGCCCGACAACAAGAAGCAAGGUAGAAUCAUUGUUUCGACGCAGCAAGCUGAAAUUGCAAGCUUGUGCACAAAGAAACCGUACCGACUUUCAGACUUCAAGCAGUUGUCACGUGAUCAAACUAUUUAUUUGUUCCACAGAAAGGUAUUUUUUUCUUAUUUGGUGUCGGGAAGAUGCCUUCCACCAAGGAGGUUCGACGACCCAAAGGUAUUGAAACAAUUUGGGUUGUAUGCUUGGGUUAGUUUGAACAUGGAACAAAGUUAUUUAGUCCCUGUCUUUAAUGUACAGUUGUGUAGCAACAACUACCUUAUUGUGAUUGACAACGUAUCUGUUGGGGAACGUCGCAUGGGAAACAAAAAAUUUCCUACGCGCACGAAGACCUAUCAUAGUGAUGUCCAUCUACGAGAGGGAAUGUGUGAUCUACGUACCCUUGUAGACCGUACAGCAGAAGCGUUAGUGAACGCGGUUGAUGUAGUGGAACGUCCUCACGUCCCUCGAUUCGACCCGCGAACUAUCCCGCGAUCAGUCCCACGAUCUAGUGCCGAACGGACGGCACCUCCGCGUUCAGCACACAUACAGCUCGAGAUGAUCUCGGCCUUCUUGAUCCAGCAAGAGAGACGGAUAGGUAGAAGAGUUCUCCGGCAGCGUGACGAUGCUCCGGAGGUUGGUGAUGAUCUUGUCGCAGCAGGGCUCCGCCCGAGCUCCGCAGACACGCGGUCUAGAGGUAAAACCGUGGAGAUAUGUGGUCGGGCUGCCGUGGCAAAGUUGUAUAAAAUCAGCCCUAAAACCUACGUAUAUAUAGGGGGGAAGAGGGGGAGCCUUGCCUUGGGGUCCAAGGACCCCUAAGGGCUUCGGCCGAGCCAAGGGGGGGAGAUCUCCCCUUCCAAACCGAGUCCAACUAGGUUUGGAAGGAGGAGUCCUUCCCCCUUUUCCCACCUCCUCUUUUUUUUUCUCUUUGAUUUUUCUUCCUAUGGCGCAUAGGGCUCUUUUGGGCUGUCCCACCAGCCCACUAAAGGCUGGUGCGCCACCCCAAUGCCUAUGGGCUUCCCCCGGGGUGGGUUCCCCCCCGGUGAACUUCCGGAACCCAUUCGUCAUUCCCGGUACAUUCCCGGUAACUCCGAAAACCUUCCGGUAAUCAAAUGAGGCCAUCCUAUAUAUCAAUCUUCGUUUCCGGACCAUUCCGGAAACCCUCUUGACAUCCGUGAUCUAAUCCGGGACUCCGAACANNNNNNNNNNNNNNNNNNNNNNNNNNNNNNNNNNNNNNNNNNNNNNNNNNNNNNNNNNNNNNNNNNNNNNNNNNNNNNNNNNNNNNNNNNNNNNNNNNNNGCGGGAUGGUUCGCGGGGCGGACCGAGGGACGUGAGGACGUUCCACUACAUCAACCGCGUUCACUAACGCUUCUGCUGUACGGUCUACAAGGGUACGUAGAUCACACAUCCCCUCUCAUAGAUGGACAUCACCAUGAUAGGUCUUCGUGCGUGUAGGAAAAUUUUUGUUUCCCAUGCGACGUUCUCCAACAGUGGCAUCAUGAGCUAGGUUCAUGCGUAGAUGUCUUCUCGAGUAGAACACAAAAGUUUUUGUGGGCGGUGAUGUGCGUUUAGCUGCCCUCCUUAGUCUUUUCUUGAUUCCACGGUAUUGUUGGAUCGAAGCGGCUCGGACCGACAUUACUCGUACGCUUGCGAGAGACUGGUUUCAUCGCUACGAGUAACUCCGUUGCUCAAAGAUGACUGGCGGGUGUUAGUUUCUCAAACUUUAGUUGAAUCGGAAUUGACCGAGGAGGUCCUUGGAUGAGGUUAAAUAGCAACUUAUAUAUCUCCGUUGUGGUGUUUGCGUAAGUAAGAUGCGAUCCUACUAGAUACCCAUGGUCACCACGUAAAACAUGCAACAACAAAAUUAGAGGACGUCUAACUUGUUUUUGCAGGGUAUGCAUGUGAUGUGAUAUGGCCAACGAUGUGAUGUGAUAUAUUGGAUGUAUGAGAUGAUCAUGUUGUAAUAGUUAAUAUUGACUUGCACGUCGAUGGUACGGCAACCGGCAAGAGCCAUAGGGUUGUCUUUAAACUAACGUUUGUGCUUGCAGAUGCGUUUACUAUUUUCCUAGGAUGUAGUUUUAGUAGUAAUAGCAUGAGUAGCACGACAACCCCGAUGGCGACACGUUGAUGGAGAUCAUGAUGAUGGAGAUCAUGGUGUGACGCCGGUGACAAGAAGAUCGUGCCGGUGCUUUGGUGAUGGAGAUCAAGGAGCACGUGAUGAUGGCCAUAUCAUGUCACUUAUGAAUUGCAUGUGAUGUUAAUCCUUUUAUGCACCUUAUUUUGCUUAGAACGACGGUAGCAUUAUGAGGUGAUCUCUCACUAAAAUUUCAAGACGAAAUUGUGUUCUCCCCGACUGUGCACCGUUGCUACAGUUCGUCGUUUCGAGACACCACGUGCUGAUCGGGUGUGAUAGACUCAACGUUCACAUACAACGGGUGCAAAACAGUUGCGCACGCGGAACACUCGGGUUAAGCUUGAUGAGCCUAGCAUGUGCAGACAUGGCCUCGGAACAAAUGAGACCGAAAGGUCGAGCAUGAAUCGUAUAGUUGAUAUGAUUAGCAUAGAGAUGCUUACCACUGAAACUAUUCUUGACUCAUGUGAUGAUCGGACUUGAGAUAGUGGAUUUGGAUCAUGUACCACUCAAAUGACUAGAGAGAUGUACUUUUUGAGUGGGAGUUCUUAAGUAAUAUGAUUAAUUGAACUAAUUGUCAUGAACAUAGUCUAAUGGUCUUUGCGAAUUACGAUGUAGCUUGCGCUAUAGCUCUACUGUUUUUAUAUGUUCCUAGAGAAAAUUUAGUUCAAAGUUGAUAGUAGCAAACUUUGCAGACUAAGUCUGUAAAACCGAGGAUUGUCCUCGUUGCUACGCAGAAGGCUUAUGUCCUUAAUGCACCACUCGGUGUGCUGCACCUCGAGCGUCGUCUGUGGAUGCUGUGAACAUCCGACAUACAUGUUUCUGAUGACUACACGAUAGUUCAGUGCAAAAUACUUAAUGGCUUAGAAGCAAGGCGCCGAAAACGUUGUAAAACGUCACGGAACAUAAGUGAUGUUCUAAAGAGAUGAAAUUGUGAUUUCAUGCUUGUGCCCUUGUUAAGAGGUACGAGACCUCCAACAAGAUUCUUUGUCCACAAAGUAAAGGAAAAAAGCUCAAUCGUUGAGCGUGUGCUCAGAUUGUCUGAGUACGACAAUCGCUUGAAUCAAGUGGGAGUUAAUCUUCCAGAUGAGAUAGUGAUGGUUCUCCAAAGUCACUGCCACCAAGCUGUGAGAGCUUCGUGAUGAACUAUAACAUAUCAAGGAUAGAUACAAUGAUCCUUGAGCGAUUCGCGAUGUUUGACACUGCGAAACUAGAAAUCAAGAAGGAGCAUCAAUAGUUGAUGGUUUGUAGAACCACUAAAUUUCAAGAAAGGCAAGGACUAGAAGGGAUACUUCGUGAAAUGGCAAAACAGUUGCUACACUAAUGAAGAGACCCAAGAUUAAACCCAAACCUGAGACUGAGUGCUUCUGUAAUGAGGGGAACAGUCACUGAGGCGGAGCAACUCUAGAUACUUAGUAGAUAAGAAGGCUGGCAAAAGUCGAAAGAAGUAUAUUUGAUAUACAUGAUAUUGAUGUGUACUUUACUAGUACUCCUAGUAGCAUGAGGGUACUGGAUAUCGGUUCAGUUGCUAAGUGAUUAGUAACACGAAAUGAAAGCUACGGCAUAAAUGGAGACUAGCUAAAGGCGAGGUGACGAUACGUGUUGAAAGUGUUUCCAAGGUUGAUAUGAUCAAACAUCGCACGCUCCCUCUACCAUUGGGAUUGGUGUUAACCUAAAUAAUUAUUAUUUGGUGCUUGCGUUAAGCAUGAACAUGAUUGGAUCGUGUUUAUUGCAAUACGAUUAUUCAUUUAAAGAGAAUAAUGGUUACUCUAUUUUCUUGAAUAAUCACCUUCAAUGGUUUAUUGAAUCUCGAUCGUAGUGUUACACAUGUUCAUGAUAUUGGUGCCAAAAGACACGAGGUAAUGAUGAUAGUAGCACUUACUUGUGGCACUGCCGCUUGAGUCAUGUUGGUAUAAAUUGCAUGAAGAGGCUCCAUGCUGAUGGUUCUUUGUACUCACUUGUUUUUGAAUCACUAGUGACAUGCAAAUCAUACCACAUGAGCAAGGCCUUGUUUUCAUUGAGAUGAAACAAGAUAGUAACUUGUUGGAAGUGAUACAUUUUGAUGUAUGCAGUCCAAUGGGUGCUGAGGCACGCAGUGGAUAUCAUUAUGUUCUUACUUCACUCACGAUUUGAGUACAUACAGGAGUAUUUACUUGAUGAAUCACAAGUCUGAAAUAUUGAAAAGUUCAAUUCCGUUUCAGAGUGAAGUUCAUCGUAACAAGAGGAUAAACUGUCUACGAUAUGAUCAUAGAAAUGAAUAUCUGAGUUACGAGUUUUGGUACGCAGUUAAGACAAUGUGGAAAUUGUUUCACAGUUCAUGCCACCCGGAACAUCAUAGUGUGAUGAUGUGUUUGAACGUCAUAGCCAUGCACUAUUUGGUAUGGUGCAUGCUAUGAUGUCUCUUAUCAAAUUACCACUAUCUUUUAUGGGUUAAGCAUUAGAGACAACCGCAUUCACUUUAAAUAGGGCACCACGUAUUUCCGUUGAGAUGACACAUUAUAGACUGAGGUUUAGAGAAAUCUAAACUGUCGUUUCUUGAAAGUUUGGGGCUUCGACACUUAUGUGAAAAAGUUUCAGUCUGAUAAGCUCGAACCCAAAGCGGUUAAAUGCAUCUUCAUAGGAUAUCCAAAACAGUUGGGUACAUCUCCUAUCUCAGAUCCGAAAGCAAAGUGUUUGUUUCUAGAAACAGAUCCUUUCUCGAGGAAAGGUUUCUCUCGAAAGAAUUGAGUGGGAGGGUAGUAGAACUUGAUGAGGUUAUUGAACCAUCACUUCAACCAGUGUGUAGCAGGGCGCAGGAAGUUGUUCCUGUGGCGCCUACACCAAUUGAAGUGGAAGGUGAUGAUGGUGAUCAUCAAGCAUCGGAUCAAGUUACUACAAGCCUCGUAGGUUGACAAGGUCACGUACUACUACAGAGUGGUACGGUAAUCCUGUCUUGGAGGUCAUGUUGUUGAGCAACAGUGAACCUACGAGUUAUGAAGAAAGCGAUGGUGGGCCCAGAUUCCGACAAAUGGUUGGAAGCCAUGAAAUCCGAGAGAGGAUCCAUGUAUGAAAACAAAGUGUAGACUUUGGAAGAACUACUUGAUGGUCAUAAGACUAUUGAGUAAAAUUGAUCUUUAAAAGAAGACAGACGAUAAUGGUGAUAAGUCACUAUUAAGAAAAGCUCGAGUUGUCGCAAAGAUGUUUUGGACAAGAUCAAACAGUUGACUAUGAUGAGACUUUCUCACUCGUAGCGAUGCUAAAGGUCUGUUAGAAUUAUGUUAGUUGUUGAUGCAUUAUUUAUGAAAUAUUGCACGUAGGAUGUCAAAACAUUGUUUUCUCGACGUUUCCUUCAGCAAACAUUGUAUGUGAUACAACCAGAAGGUUUUGUCGAUCCUAAAGAUACUAGCAAGUAUGCAAGCUCCAGUGAUCCUUCAAUGGACUGGUGCAAGCAUCUCGGAGUUGGAAUAUACACUUUGAUGAGAUGAUCAAAGAUUUUGGGUUUGUACAAGGUUUUUGAGAAACUUGUAUUUCCAAAGAAGUGAGUGGGAGCACUAUAGAAUUUCUGAUAAGUAUAUGUGGUAGACAUAUUGUUAAUCAGAAGUAAUGUAGAAGUUCUGUAAAGCAUAUAAGGUUGUUUGAAAGGAGUUUUCAAAGGAAUACUUGGAUUGCGCUACUUGAACGUUGAGCAUCAAAGAUCUAUGGAGAUAGAUCAAAAGCGCUUAAUGAAAGUUUCAAUAAGAUGCAUACCUUGACAAGUUUUUGAAGGAGUUCAAAAUAGAUCAGCAAAGAAGGAGUUCUUCGUUGCGUUGUAAGGUGUAAAUUUGAGUAAGACUCAAAACCCGACCAUGGCAGAAUAAAGAGAAUAGACGAAGGUCGUCUUCUAUGACUUAGCCGUAGAAUCUAAAGUAUGUCAUGCUGUGUACCGCACCUGAUGUGUGCCUUGACUCAAAGUAUGUUGAGAGGUACAGAGAGUGAUCCAUGAUUGAAUCACUAGCAGCGGUCAAAAUUUAUCCUUAGUAACUAAUGGACUAAGGAAUUUUUUCUCGAUUAUGGAGGUGGUUAAAGAGUUCGUCGUAAAGGAUUACGUCGAUGCAAGCUUUGACACUAAUCCGAAUAACUAUGAGUAGUGAAACGGAUUCGUAUAGUAGAGUAGAUAUUUGGAGCAUUUUCGAAUAGCACGUAGUAGCAGCAUCUAUAAGAUGACAUAAAGAUUUGUAAAGAACGCACGGAUCUGAAAGUUUCAGAACCGUUGACUGAAACCUCUCUCACGAGCAAGACAUGAUCAGACCCCAGAACUAUAUGGGUGUUGGAUUCGUUGGAAUCACAUGGUGAUGUGAACUAGAUUAUUGACUCUAGUGCAAGUAGGAGACUGUUGGAAAUAUGCUCUAGAGGCAAUAAUAAAUUAGUUAUUAUUAUAUUUCUUAGUUAAUGAUAAUCGUUUAUUAUCCAUGCUAUAAUUGUAUUGAUUGGAAACACAAUACUUGUGUGGAUACAUAGACAAAACACUAUCCCUAGCAAGCCUCUAGUUGACUAGCUCGUUGAUCAAAGAUGGUCAAGGUUUCCUGGCUAUAGGCAAGUGUUGUCACUUGAUAACGGGAUCACAUCAUUAGGAGAAUCAUGUGAUGGACUAGACCCAAACUAAUAGACGUAGCAUGUUGAUCGUGUCAUUUUAUUGCUACUUUUUUCUGCGUGUAAAGUAUUUGUUCCUAUGACCAUGAGAUCAUAUAACUCACGGACACCGGAGGAAUGCUUUGUGUGUAUCAAACGUCGCAACGUAACUGGGUGACUAUAAAGAUGCUUUACAGGUAUCUCUGAAGGUGUUCGUUGAGUUAGUAUGGAUCGAGAUUGGGAUUUGUCACUCCGUGUGACGGAGAGGUAUCUCGGGGCCCACUCGGUAAUACAUUAUCACACACAAGCCUUGCAAGCAAUGUGACUUAGUGUAAGUUACGGGAUCUUGUAUUACGGAANAGGUUUUCGGAGUUACCAGGAAUGUACCGGGAAUGACGAAUGGGUUCCGGGAGUUCACCGGGGGGGGGGGCAACCCACCCCGGGGAAGCCCAUAGGCAUUGGGGGUGCCGCACCAUCCCUUAGUGGGCUGGUGGGACAGCCCAAAAGAUCCCUAUGCGCAUUGGAAGAAAAAUCAAAGAGAAAAGAAAAAAAAAAGAAGGUGGGAAAGGGAAGAAGGACUCCACCUUCCAAACCAAGUAGAAUUCGGUUUGGGAGGGGGAGACCUUCCCCCUUGGCUCGGCCGACCCCCUUGGGAGUCCUUGGACCCCAAGGCAAGUCUCCCCCUUCCAUCCUUCUAUAUAUAGUGGGGUUUUAGGGCUGAUUUGAGACAACUUUGCCACGGCAGCCCGACCACAUAUCUCCACGGUUUUACCUCUAGAUCGCGUUUCUGCGGAGCUCGGGCGGAGCCCUGCUGAGAUAAGAUCACCACCAACCUCUGGAGCGCCGUCACGCUGCCGGAGAACUCUUCUACCUCUCCGUCUCUCUUGCUGGAUNNNNNNNNNNNNNNNNNNNNNNNNNNNNNNNNNNNNNNNNNNNNNNNNNNNNNNNNNNNNNNNNNNNNNNNNNNNNNNNNNNNNNNNNNNNNNNNNNNNNNNNNNNNNNNNNNNNNNNNNNNNNNNNNNNNNNNNNNNNNNNNNNNNNNNNNNNNNNNNNNNNNNNNNNNNNNNNNNNNNNNNNNNNNNNNNNNNNNNNNNNNNNNNNNNNNNNNNNNNNNNNNNNNNNNNNNNNNNNNNNNNNNNNNNNNNNNNNNNNNNNNNNNNNNNNNNNNNNNNNNNNNNNNNNNNNNNNNNNNNNNNNNNNNNNAUCACACAUCCCCUCUCGUAGAUGGACGUCACCAUGAUAGGUCUUCGUGCGCGUAGGAAAAUUUUUGUUUCCCAUGCGACGUUCUCCAACAGUAAGCCUGGGCAUGCGCACCAGGGCGGGGACCCAGGACGCCUGCAGCGUUGGGAGGGAUCCAGCCAGGGCGUGGUGACGGAAGAGCCAUGCCGUAGGGGGCGAAGUACCCAGUGAAGGGUGAAAGGGCCGGCGGCGACGGAUGGCCACGUCCAGAGGAGUCCCCGCGGCCACGACCACGUCUGCGGCCACGACCGCGACCGCGGUCACCAUCGCCGGAGCGGUCACCGCGGCCACGACCAGGGGGCGUCUGGGAAGGAUGCGGGUGACCCUGGGCGCGAUCGGCAGUGGGGCGAUCUGGAGCGGAGGAGCCACUGCUCUGGCCGCGAUCACCGCCAGUGAUGGCGAAGGCAGAUGCACUUUCCUCGGCAGCACGCUGGGUCUGGGAUUCCUCGGCGAGGACGACCCGAGAGAGCACGGCGUCGAAGGGGAGCUCCUGGUCGCCGAGGACGACACGGAUGGUGUCGAGCCGCUUGUCGAGGCCAUGGAGAAACUGGGUGGUGAGGUCGCAUUCGGUGACGGCGUGAUCGAUGUCGGCGAGACCGUCGGUGAGGAGCUUCAUGCGGCGGGCGUAUUCGGAGACGGAGAGGUCACCUUGCUUGAGGUUGCGGUACUGCCGAUUGAGCAGCAUGAAACGAGCGGCGCGGUUGGCGAGGAAGAAGUCGCGGAUCUUCUUCCAGAUGGCGUAGGAGGUGGUGGCACCGACGACAUGGUCGAUCAUGGGAUCGGCAAGGGUGGCAUAGAGCCAGAGCGCGACAUGAGCGUCGAGCUCACGGUAGGCCCCGUCGGCGUUGGAUGGUGGUGGGUGCUCGAUGAGUUAGAGAACGCCGUAGCGAACGAGGACCAUGAUGGAGAACGACUUCCACUUGUGAUAGUUGUGGUCGGCGGGAUUGAGGAAGAACUUGAUGUGGUUGGUGAUGUGAUCCGAAAAAAAUGGGGUGGCGAGGGUUGGUUGGCGACGGCGCAGGAGCCGGCGGUGCAGAGGAGAAGAGGGGGGCGAACUGAGAUCCAGAGGCGGCGGUGGAGCCAGAGAAGACGAACAACGGAGGUGGAGGAGCCGAGGUGGCCGAGGACGCGGCAGCGGCGGCGGCGGCAGUGGCCGGAGAGGAAGCGGUGUGCGGCAGAGCGCCGGGACUGAGGGCAGCGGAGGAGUGGGAGGAGGCGUCGGCGUCCAUGGCGGCCUGGUAACUGAUACCAAGUUGAAUAGAUUGAUUCCUUGACAAGUGUUACAAAGGGUUACAAGAGGUAUAUAUAUGAGGGGAGAGCCACGUCCUAUACAAGUGGCUAGUGGCCAACAUGGUCUUCCCCUGAUCCUACUCACAAGGAGAUGAUACAAGUGCUCAAGUAAUCUAAAAGUUCAAACGGACGAUUCAACAAGAAGGACAAAAUUCAUGCAAACUGGAUCUUAUUUGUUAGUUUUUGAUAUAUUUACACCAAAAAAGACAAAAUUUAACAAAGUUCAAGUGGACCUAAGGUAACUUGAACUAAAUUUAAACUAAACUAAUUAACUGAGGUAUGAGACGGUAACCUCGUAGCCAUGGCCUUUGAGGCCGCCGACACCUCCCUCGUGGUUGUCCUUCCAACGGCGGAAGGCCCUCGGGCCACGACAGCCUUAAUGAUAUCGGCCACAACUCCACACUCUUAACGCAGCCGGUCAGCCUUCGCCUAGCGCAUACGCUUGGCGAACGCAUCCCAUUUCUCCGGUCUUGGAGCACCUUCUCACUUGCCUCCUUGUUAGAUGCUGUCAGGGAGCGUGAGGACGUGGUGCGGCCGCCACGUCGAAGGUUGUGCAGGAGGCGGCCACACGCGUUGGUGAUUGCUAGGCUGGGUCGUGAUGCGAUGCCAUUUCCUUGGCGUGUUGAAAAUUGUGCGGCCAAGACGAGUCCGUACUAACCACCCGUCCAAGCUAAGCGACAACGAUGGCACCUCUUUCUUCAUGCGACAGCGACGGUGGCACUAGACCAUGGACGAAGAGCGGACUUAUGAGAACGAGGUCGUGAUUUGGUGCAUACUCCUCUUCAAUCAGCACGACCUCGAUGAGGAGGGGUGCCUCAUGCUACUCAUCGUCAUCGUUGGAGAUCACUGCUCCUCCUUAACCAUGUGCACUCAUAGAGUGGUGGCCGCUGACGGGCAAGGAGACAGUGGCCGGAGUCGCUGCAAUCCAGAUGACCCCAUAAUCCACCUGCAAGCGCAAAGAACCAACCAAAGCCAUUGCCGUUCUUGCCCAUCUCUGCAGUGUGUGGACGAUAGAAAGGAGAGGCGGUGGUGCAUAGAGUGGAGAUGGGGUUUGUGGGCGAGGUCAGCCCGCUUAGGGUCGGUGUCGCUUCAAUGCAGGUGCAGCAGCCGCUAGGUUUACCCAUCGCCAUGAGCACACCGAAGUGGCGCAUGUCAGUCGUCCGAUACGCACGUUUGACCGGCAUCAAUGUGGUAAGAGGCGAGCGGCCUGAAUGUGCGGCGAGGCUUCUACUCCCUCCGUUCCUAAAUAUAAGUCUUUUAAGCGAUUUCACUAAGGGUCUACAUACGAAACAAAAUGAUUGAAUCUAUACGCUAAAGUAUGUCUAUAUACAUUCGUAUGUAGUCCACUAGUGAAAUCUCUACAAAGACUUAUACUCCGUAUUUAGGAACGAAGGGAGUAGAACGUAACGCGUGGGGAAGGUUUUGGGUGGAACUGCUCACUCUGACAGCUACGUGGUGGACCUCUGGAUGCCCACAAAUAGCCCCCGGGUUUGAGACCAGUUUGCGGGAAUUUAAAAAAGCGGACCAGUUUGCGAACGUUUGAUGCAUGGCAUUGGAUGGCAAGAAGUAUACAGACCACGGUCUUGGAGUUCCCUAGGAGACACCUUAGAAAAGGUCGAAUAAUCCCACAACUCAUCAUGAAAUAAAAGAACCUAAAGAUGCCGGAAAUUCAAAACGAAGCUUGUACUCAUAUGGUCCUGCAUGUACAAAAUCCAAAAAAUGGUUUGAAGAAGUUUUUUUUUUUUGCAAUGGCCAUUUUUGUUUCCUCUAUACAUGUCAAAAUUUUUGUGAGAACAGACACUAGAGAUGAAAGUGCCCUUCUACACCCGAGCUCAAAUGAACCUGAGCCAACAGUAAAUUCAAAAAAUAUUGAAAAAAUAAUAAAAAACCAAAUCUGAUUUUUUUGCAGCAAACUUUCACAAUUGUUCUAAGAUCUUGCAAAAUUCAGUACAAAAUCACAUUUGUGGAAGUCGUUGUAAAAAAACAAAAAGUUUUUCUUUGCCACGACUUCCACAAAUGUGAUUUCACGAUGAAACUUUGCGAGCUCUUAAAACAUUUUUCAUAGUUUUUUACAAAGAAUCAGAUUUUUUUCAUAGCAUGUAUAUGCGAGCAUGUGGGGACAAAAUUGGUUACUGUUGCAGACUAUUUUUUGUUGGUGAAUGCUGUUGAAGAAAUUUGCUGUAUAAGAGAAGUACACUAAUAAAAAAACUAUGCUUUUUAUCUGAGAGCAAUUACCUUUGUCACGGGAGCAGCCAUCCGUUAUGUAUGGAUUGCCUCCGUAACCACCGUGGCAGUAACAAGAAUACCGAGUAGCACCAGCAUAACUGCUGCUAUGGUUGCUGAGACAUGCAUAAUCUGUGGGGCCACUAGGUUCAUCAACGGCGAUACCCCAGAAGAUAGAGGCGUGAUCAGUGCUUACAUCAAUUGUAUCCCAUAUGGAGCUUCGGUUACCGUGCGCUUUGAGCAUCAGCUUUCUAAUCUUGUGGCGGGCGAACUUGAUGUCGAAGCCGGUAGUAGACUCGGAUCUAAGAUGGAUGGAGCAACAUCCUGUACCGUUGCAGUCCUGCCUGAGGCUGACCACCUUAUCCGUGAUGUCUUCGUCAGGGCAUGUAGUAUUGCACUGACUCACCGUCUUGUUGGUAUCGUGAUCGAGCACAUACAUGUCGAAGUCGCAACCAGUGAAGUCUAAUUGUAAAGAAUAGCCACCGGGAGAUCUCCCAGGAUUCCACGAGAUGCUGUAUGCAUCCUCCUCAGGUCUCACGGAGACGGAAUGGGAAAACGAUACCUUGAUAGACUGUGGGGCAUAAACAUCGCCGGGUUUGAUGUUAUUGACGACCUCGGUGAUGCCGUCGUGCAGGAAGAGUCUGGGGCGCUGCGACGCACCGUCGGUUUUGUUGCAGAAGAGCUCAAAGUCUCGCCGCGGCGGCCGGAAGCAGCCCGGCCCUAUGCCGAACGGGUAGUCGAAGCUGAGGUUGCCACAACUCUUGUGACAGCCGGCCAGGGAGGGAAGAUCACUCCUGUUCCCGCCCUGGCUUCCUUGCACGCCAGAGGAUGCUCGUGCUGUUGCCGUCCAUAGCAACAGCAGCACGAGCAAGCAGAGGAGCCUCAUUUUGUGGGAAAAUGGUGUAUUGAGUUUAGGUGUCUCGCUGCUUUAGCUUCCAGCAUUGGUUCUCUUCUAAUGCUAAACGGAAUUAUACUCUCGUCCUCCUUUUUCAAACAGAAUUACACGUUCCGUCGCUGUUGUGGUGAAAAAAGAAGAGACAUUUUCCGAACUUGCUUUUGUAAGGCAGGGAACGUCUUUGAAGCAUUCAGUAUAUCCCCUACCACGGGUUAGAAUGUUGUACAGUAUUAAUUUCUGAUGUAACACAUACUUACUUGUGGCAAGAACAAGUCCGUGUAUUCUCUGCCACUGAACGGCUCUGGAUAUUUCGGUACAAUUCAAAACUCUCCUCUCGCAUUGACUGACUUUGUGGAGUCUCGAGUCUUUGUUUUCAAGUGGAGAUCAGGACAUACGGGGUAGCUUUCUUAUUUAAUUAGCAGACGGUCGGCUUAUUUUUCAAUGCGACGCAUACAUAAUUUCAAUUACCUGGCAGCACGGCAAACAUCGUAACCGUAACUCUUAUAUCAACUGCAGUAACAUCUUCCAGCUGCCAAAUGGCUUUCUGGAACCAAACAAGAGCCUCCGACAAGUGACGAGAAGGAGGAGGAGGAGGAGGAGGAGAAAAAAACUGUUUUAUCGUGUGGUAAAGCGCUCGGCUUAUCGGCAUAUAAGCCUUGUUCUCCAUAAAAACACCCGAUAACAACAAAUCACUCAGCUUAUGCUAUCAUAUAAGCCGUGUGAUCCGAAAAAGCUCUCGGCUCAUAAACGAGACACGGUUUCUACGUAAAAAACACUCGGCUUCUAGCACAUCACCCGAUAAAAAUACCUACCACGUGUCUUCAAUAGAAACGGCUGACGGUGCCGUCACGUCGUAAGCUGUAAUCCGAAUGUAACCAGCAGGGCAAACAUGGCUGGCAACCGAAAUUCUUACAUCAACCGAUAACAUUUUCCAGCUUCCAAACGGCUCUCUCUGGAACCAAAACAAAAACCUCCAACCACGGGGAGCUGAUCGUCCACAGCCAACCCAACGGCAUGGAUGCAACCAGCACUGCCAUAGCAUGCAGCAGACAUGCCGCCAGGAUCUUUCCCUAUCCUCUUGGAGCGAUCGAGCAGCAGGUCCAUUACGUACCAAUAUGUUUUUGCUGGUAUUGAUCCAGAUUCCGAUGCUCAAGUGGAAUUUAGGACAUUUCAAAAUGUGGGCGAUCCAACUACAAGGAAACAGGGGUCUUUAGCAUUAUUAUUAUUUAUUAGUGCCAAGACAGAUAGAUGGAUGCGGCAUUUUUCCAACGGUGUUGCGAGACUAGACUACUAUAGACAGGCCGAGCUGCUUGCAUGAUAGAAAUGUAAAUCGGUGUCUUCUGUUAUUAUUGUCGCAAGAGAGAAAAUUAGGAGCUAGCACGGAGAUAACACCAAUAAAAAACAGGGUUUUAGUUCUGGCCAGAUAAAAGCAACAAUCCACUACCGGAAUAACGAACGCUGCCGACGGCCUUAUCUACGCCGACAGCUCCCGUCGGCAUAGAUUGAGGUCCGCCGACGGCAAGGGAAAGAAUGUAGGCACAAUAAAGCCGUCGGCAUACAUCCAUCUACACCGGCUGGGGCGGUCGGCGUAGCGGUCGGCGUAGACAGGGCCGUCGGCACAUAUGUGGGUCCGGCUUCCCUGGAUCGUAAGUUAAGGUGGUUAAAACUAUGCCGACGGCCCUGACGGCGGACAUCGGCAUAGCUAUUUUCAUUCUUUUUUAAUCAAAAUCCAUGUGGCACAUCUAUGCCAAUGGCCAGGCGGUUGGCAUACAUAUUAUACGUAUCUUUGUUUUUAUUUUAUAUUUUAUACAUAUUAUACAUAUUAUGGCCAGGCAGGAAAAUGCCGCCCGCCCUAGAGGUGGUGAGACACCCCUGGUCGUCGUACCACUCCCUAGUCACCGCAUGGACUGAAUUUCUCCACCUCCGGCGCAAAACCGUCCGCUGAAUCGCCAAAUAGAUCGUCACCUCACUUGAUUUGGAGUGGGGAAAGGAGAAUCGGAGGAGCCGAGCGAAUUGUUGUUGUGGUUUCGAAAUGCUCGCCCCUGGUGAGGAGAGGUGGACGCAAUGAAGAGGGGAAGUUAUGGGUUUUAAAAAAAAUCUGAAAAUUUGAAAAUAAAUAUGCAAGUAAAGAAAGAUGUUAUGUUUAUGUGUGUAAAUUUUUAAGAUGAAAUACCUUGAAAUACUGUCUACACAAAAAAGAAAAAUUCAUAGCCUAGAAUUGUUGAACAUAUCACGCAUCAUCACUAAAGGAAUCAGUCAUUUUACCGUCAGGACGCUACAGACGACAAAAAAUUGCCGUCAGCCAUGACGGCAAAUAAUGCCAACGUCCACCAUGCCCGCAAAGGGUAGUUUUACCGUCAACGUAUGCGAGAGCAGACGGCAAAAAAAUGCCGUUAGUGAAAUUAUUUUGCUGUUGGCAGGAUCGGUAGACGACAAAAAAUUGGUACCAGACGGAACGUCCAGCCGGACAAACGACGUUAGUCCUUUUUGCCGUCAGCCCAUGGUAGUCCUGGACUGCAAAACCCCCAUUUUCUGCCCUCAUCAACAGAAACUUCAGACGGCAAAACACCCCAGAUUUUAUAGAAAAUAUCAAAGUUGUCCAGAGGGAAACGAACUGACGAGGAAAACCACGAUAUCCGUGAGCACUGCUGUUCCAAGAAUCAACAACGAAGGAAAUAAUUUCACUAUACAGAAAUAUUCAUCAUCACUUGCUGAUCCAAAACAAAACUACUCCGUUUAAAAAGAUGAGCGUAUUACACAAGAACGGAUUACACUGCAGUGUACAUAGUUCGAUCUGGAGUACACCGACGCGCCAACGACGCCUGAGGAGCUCAAACCGUCCGCCGCCUCGCCGGAGCUCGCCAACCUCGUCCGAUCGCUGGAUCCAUUGGACCCCGCCAGCUCCGUCGACACCAAGCCCCGCCGCCGACAGAGGAAAGCAGAAGAGGCGUAGGCCCGCGACACGGGAAGGCGGCGACACAGGAGAGCAACAGAGACCGAGGCAGGCGCCUACGGGUGGUGGGAGGCAGGCGGCAUCCGAAGUCGAGCAUCGUGCUGAGUACACCGAUGGCUUCUCGGGGCGAUGGGGACGGGUCGAAGAAGGGAACGGGUCGUGACCGGUGGUGCUAGGGAGCAGGUGCAAGACAGAUAGAUGGAUGCGGCAUUUUUCCAGCGGUGUUGCGAGACUAGACUACUAUAGACAGGCAGAGCUGCUUGCAUGAUAAAAUAAAUCGGUGUCUUCUGUUAUUAUUGUUGCAAGAGAGAAAAUUAAGAGUUAGCACGAAGAUAACACUAGUAGAAAACACGGCUUUAGUUCUGGCCAGAUAAAAGCUGAGGUUGCCACACCUCUUCUGACAGCCGGCCAGGGAGGGAAGAUCACUCCUGUUCCCGGCCUGGCUUCCUUGCACGCCAGCGGAUGCUCGCACCGUUGCCAUCCAUAACAACAGCGGCGCGAGCAAGCAGAGGCGCCUCAUCGUCUUCAUCACAGUAUUUGUGGGAAAAAUGGUGUAUUAAGCUUUAGGUGUCUCGCUGCUUUAGCUUCCAGCAUUGGUACUCUUGCAUAUUUAUGUACCUGUCCAGUAUCACCAUUUUCAAACGGAAUUGUACACUCGUAUUCCAUUUUCUAACGGAAUUACACG
This 27294-nucleotide long non-coding RNA is filed under the name Hordeum vulgare. RNAcentral's name for it is "long non-coding RNA (HVUL_LNC014584)". Lineage: Eukaryota; Viridiplantae; Streptophyta; Magnoliopsida; Poales; Poaceae. The record is from RNAcentral.